RNAcentral lists this ribosomal RNA (305 nucleotides) under uncultured bacterium. Its description in RNAcentral is "bacterial SSU rRNA". It matches the Rfam family "Bacterial small subunit ribosomal RNA", at positions 333 to 652 of the family's 1533-position model. The record is from RNAcentral.
GGAUACCUACGGGGGGCAGCAGUGGGGAAUAUUGGACAAUGGGGGGAACCCUGAUCCAGCGACGCCGCGUGAGUGAAGAAGUAUUUCGGUAUGUAAAGCUCUAUCAGCAGGGAAGAAAGAAAUGACGGUACCUGACUAAGAAGCCCCGGCUAACUACGUGCCAGCAGCCGCGGUAAUACGUAGGGGGCAAGCGUUAUCCGGAUUUACUGGGUGUAAAGGGAGCGCAGGCGGUAUGGCAAGUCAGAUGGGAAAACCCAGGGCCCAACCCUGGGACUGCAUUUGAAACUGCCAUACUGGAGUGCCGG